CUCAAGCAGGCUCCAUGCUUAGCGUAGAGCCCAAUACGGAGCUUGAUCUCAUGAGGGCAAGAUCGUGACCUGAACUGAAAUCAAGAGUCAGACACUUACCCCACUGAGCUUCUCCAAUUAAUGCUUCGUAAUUCGAAUUUUACUCUUCGGUGUCUCUGUUUUUAUUUGUGCAUUCGUUGGCCGUAUGGCUUAUAUAAGAACUAAAAGCAUAAAAAGUUGAUUCCUAGUUUAAUGUUUAUAACAUUGAAGUAAAAAUAAUGUAAAUACCGGAACACCACAAGAACGUGUUCUUUAACAGAGCUCUGUAUCAUUGCUCACUUUUGGUAAACAUUGAUCUGAAUAUUCCUACCACAAACGUUCAGGCUGGUUUUCUUUUCUUGUUAUCACCUGCUCUCAGCCCUGAAUGCGAGAAGUUUCACAAAUAUUCCAGAACUGCAUUUUAAGCCUCAAACUCAUGAAGUAUCAGGUGUGUAACUGAAGUUGAUGGUCUUUAAUUCCUCAGUGUGUUUCCAGUUCAAGUGAACCCCAAAGGAGAAGGGGAUCCCACACACACAAAAAAGUCAACCAGCGUCAUUCCGUUUAGGCCUCUGGCAGAACUCCAUGGGUCAGCUGUAAGGAAGCGGCACCCGAACCUGACCUUGGGCGCUAGCGCCCACGUAACGGAAUCGGUAGCUGCCCGCCGCUAACAGGAAGCUGGUCGUCCACACUCCGGCUCAGGACGAAGCAAGCAUUUCUUUCUUUGAGCUUUCGGGGCCAGUUAGAGAGGAUGCUUACAACCAGGGGCCAAUCCUGCCGCGGGCAUCAGCUGCGCAGAUGUUUACUUUCUCCUCGCUUCCACCGCAAAAUUGGUCUGAUGAUAGAGGGCGCGCCCCCUAGCGGGAAGGCUGGGUAGCUUCAAGGGGACACAGAAGAUGCUGGCACACGGUAAACAUUCGGCGACCGUUGGCUGCCAGCGUCAUGACUUCUUCUACAAUUACUGUCAUUGCUACUGCUGCCGCAGGGGAGGGCCAAGGGACCUACGCCUUCAGCAUUUCACAGGUUCGUUUAAUCCGUGUAGCCUGAAAGUCCGGGACACCUUUAAACUCCUGAAGAACCUUCGCACGUGACUUCGGCUGCAAGCAGGUCUCCCUUGGCCUUCAUUAUUUGCCACUGGAAAAUGCUGUAAAUGACAUCAGACAGACUUCAGACACCACCUCUGGAACUAAGAAACGAAGCAGUUAUUCAGAGCACCGGUGAUUGUCAUUUUAGAAGAAAUAAGAAAUCAGUAUCGCAGUCGUGGAUCCUGGCAGUUUUUUCCUACCUGGAGCUGCUCUCGGUGGAAGCGUGGUGGCUUUCAAGGGCAACAGCGCCCCCGCGUGGUGAUACUGUUUAUUGCACCCCAGGAGAGCCUGCAAACUCCGGGCUGGAAGGAAAUGCCGGGCGGCCUCAGGCAAGGACAUCCAUUCACCCCAAAAUAAUUUCUGCCUUAAGCCGACAGGCCGGUUUCUGCCAAAAAGAUGAGCGCAGUUAAGUUUUACCGUACUGAUAUUGUGUCUUAAAACUUAGCAUCUCUUCUUGCCUGUGAAAGCAGGAAAAGGGCGGCCAGCGGCAUGGGUUGCUUGCAAUCCUUUCCAGGGUUUGAAAGUGUGGGGUGAGUGGAAGGCGUGGGAUUGCAGGGACGGAGUGAAGAUCAGGAGGGAGGAGGAGUGGCCCGGCAGGGCUGGGAGCCAGGGAGUAGAGGGGGUAGGGUAACAUUUGGUAAUAAAAAUGAUGGGAAGUAGAAUAGCUUGUAUUUUAAACUAAAAUCGAUGGCUGCAUAGCAACAGAGAAGCAAAUCGGUGUCACCAAAAUUCAGAAUUCCUAGCUCUAACGUGAUGCUUUCCAUGGCUGCCUCCCUACGUCAAGCGGACCCUCCAUGCUCUCUUGAGAAAGAAGUAUCUAGUUUCUCCUAACUGUGAGUGUCUGGGAUGCCCCUCCAGAAGCUCCCCAAACCACUGUGCCCUGACCUCUGAGGAGCUGAGGUAGAGAAGGACAAGCACAGGACUCGAAACCCCAAGACUGGAUUCUGUUCCCAGCAUCGUUGGAGUGCUAAGCGGGAAGGCAUUCAUCACCCACCUCUCUUGUUCUUAAGUUCUCUGCGGACAGCACACCCCUGACACCUGCACCCUGCCUACAGCUCCCCCCUUCUCCUCUCUUGGAGGCCACUGCACCUUGACUUGUGGGCUGCCACAGGGCACAGGGGGCUCCAGGGUCCCCACCGGAAAAGCGGAAAGAGUGCCCCCUGCUGACCUCACAGAGUUAUCUCAAGCGUUAAACUGCAUCUGAGAAUGAAUUCCUGAAUCGUCGCACCUACGAUAUGCACCUUUAGAUCUAUGAUAGAAAUAAAUAAGUAAUAACCUAAA
This is a long non-coding RNA of Neofelis nebulosa (Clouded leopard), 2381 nucleotides long. RefSeq lists it as uncharacterized. NCBI's taxonomy places the organism in Eukaryota, Metazoa, Chordata, Mammalia, Carnivora, Felidae. The record is from RefSeq and is a predicted model, not a curated record. The transcript has 2 exons.